GCCCGGGUAGUCCAGGGGUAAGAUUCAUCGUUCGGGUCGAUGAGACCCGCGUUCGAAUCGCGGCUCGGGCC
Molecule: transfer RNA, 71 nt
Filed under: Aspergillus fischeri NRRL 181
Lineage: Eukaryota; Fungi; Ascomycota; Eurotiomycetes; Eurotiales; Aspergillaceae
Description: tRNA-Pro (CGG) (tRNA-Pro-CGG-1-1)
Rfam family: tRNA
About the family: Transfer RNA (tRNA) molecules are approximately 80 nucleotides in length. Their secondary structure includes four short double-helical elements and three loops (D, anti-codon, and T loops).
Source: RNAcentral